GGAGGUAGUGACAAUAAAUCACAAUGCGGGACUUUUAGUUUUGCAAUUGGAUUGAGAACAAUGUAAAAGAGUUAUCGAUAAACAAUUGGAGGGCAAGUCUGGUGCCAGCAGCCGCGGUAAUUCCAGCUCCAAUAGCGUAUAUUAACGUUGUUGCAGUUAAAAAGCUCGUAGUUGAAGUGUGGGUGAUCGCUGUUGUGAGACUUCGGUCUCUCGACAGUAAGUCACCCCCUUCCAGUAUCCAGUAGUGGGUAUUCAGUUACUUACUACUGUGUGUUGGUCCUUUACUGUGAGAAAAUUAGAGUGUUCAAAGCAGGCGUUUGCUUGAAUAGAUUAGCAUGGAAUAAUAAUUGAAGGCUUUCGUGUUCGAUUUGAUUGGUUUGUUCAUGGAAGCAAGGUUAAAAGGAACAGUUGGGGGUAUUCAUAUUCACUAGUUAGAGGUGAAAUUCUCGGAUUUAUGGAAGAUGAACAAGUGCGAAAGCA
This 480-nucleotide ribosomal RNA is filed under the name Blastocystis sp. subtype 1. RNAcentral describes it as "SSU rRNA". It matches the Rfam family "Eukaryotic small subunit ribosomal RNA", at positions 460 to 953 of the family's 1831-position model. Lineage: Eukaryota; Bigyra; Opalinata; Blastocystidae. The record is from RNAcentral.